This is a long non-coding RNA of Rosa rugosa (rugosa rose), 441 nucleotides long. RefSeq lists it as uncharacterized. The record is from RefSeq and is a predicted model, not a curated record. The transcript is spliced from 3 exons. NCBI's taxonomy places the organism in Eukaryota, Viridiplantae, Streptophyta, Magnoliopsida, Rosales, Rosaceae.
UGUUUGAUUGGUUAGUUCGGAACUGGGAGGAAGCUCAAUCAGUUCGCUCAACAUCAUAAUUAAAGCCCUUGCAGAGUAUAUUCACAUAUCCACCCUAAAUUGGAUUUCUUUGUUGUUUGAGUGUAAAUGUUGGUUGGGUUUUGGUAAUCUUGAUAUUGAACUGGUUGGUUGUGUGUGCAAUGUGCAAUAUGCAGUGAAGUGAGCCUGCGCAAUCAAAGACUGCAUUUGGUUUACAAUGGAGUUGAGGUAGAAGCUUUAAAAAUGGCCCAGAGUCUUCACUUUACAGAAGAGGUUCGAUCUACAAAAUGUCAUCUAGGUGAUUUUAAGGUUAAGAUAGAGUUUGACGACCUGAAGAAUAAGGCCCUUCAUACGUGCAGUUGCUUGAGUUCCCUUGUUAGUCAAAUUGAGAGGAUCAACUUGCAAAAGAACAGAGCAAAGCAG